This 374-nucleotide ribosomal RNA is filed under the name Clostridioides difficile. RNAcentral describes it as "bacterial SSU rRNA". It matches the Rfam family "Bacterial small subunit ribosomal RNA", at positions 515 to 890 of the family's 1533-position model. Lineage: Bacteria; Bacillati; Bacillota; Clostridia; Peptostreptococcales; Peptostreptococcaceae. The record is from RNAcentral.
CCGCGGUAAUACGUAGGGGGCUAGCGUUAUCCGGAUUUACUGGGCGUAAAGGGUGCGUAGGCGGUCUUUCAAGUCAGGAGUGAAAGGCUACGGCUCAACCGUAGUAAGCUCUUGAAACUGGGAGACUUGAGUGCAGGAGAGGAGAGUGGAAUUCCUAGUGUAGCGGUGAAAUGCGUAGAUAUUAGGAGGAACACCAGUUGCGAAGGCGGCUCGCUGGACUGUAACUGACGCUGAGGCACGAAAGCGUGGGGAGCAACCCGGAUUAGAUACCGUGGUAGUCCACGCCGUAAACGAGUAGUACCAGGAGUCGGGGGGUGCCCCCGUCGGGGCCGCAGCUGACGCAUUAAGUACUCCGCCUGGGAAGUACGCUCGCA